UUUGCGGAAGAGUGAUGUCUCCGUAUACGCUCUAUAAGAGCAUCAAUGCGUUGGCAACCUCCGCCAACGCAGUUCGCCAUGGAGAUCAAAGAAACGAGCUUCGCACCACUUCGCUCUAGCGAACACACAGGAGGUGGCAACAAUCACACAAAUGCGAAGCGCGUACACACCCACAAAGAUGUGGCGUCUCCGAGACACACCUGCUCAGUGAACACACAUACAAAAUAGAAACCGAAACUUUGGUACAUACUAAGAAACAGAUCAUGCAUAAAGCGAUUAUGACGAUGGUGCUGACUGAAAAAAGGAAAGAGAAAAGAAGUGCCGUCAGCCAAAGAAGAGUGGGCAUGGCUUCCAAGACUGGAGGAUGGCGCGUGCUCUUUACACUAGGUCUGCUCGAUUUGCCUGCACCACUCUGAACCAGUUCACGGCGGUUCAUGAGAAGCUCAGAAAUUGUGCAGCUUGAUUCCUGAGGUGUACGCCCAGCGAGACACUCAACAUGAAUGCAAAGGUGCAGACACGGUGCAGGCGUUAUGUCAGACUAAUGUGCACGCAGAGGUCCUGAACUGCAGGUAUGAUUGGGCGUAAAUACACACCACAUCUGCGUAGACACAUCAGACGUGCAUAAGCGGGGUUUUAAAGCCAGGGACACAUGGAGCGGAAAACCGGCAUCCAGGCGACAAAAUACGCCCGGCAGCGAACACUGGCCCCUUGACGUCCAAAAAUUUGACUCCCGCUGGCUACCCUGACCAAUCGGAAAAUCGCCGUCGGAAGUGGCAAAAGCGGCUUGCGCGCUCGCCAGGCGUCGCGACGAUUGAUCUCCCUACAACUUCCGGCAGCUGGUUGGUUUUUGUGUAUUUUUGCUUUUCCACCGGAGCGUCCAUCGCGCGGCCGCGCUGAAGCGAUGGAAUGCGGGUGUUUGGGCUAGUUUGGCGGCACACCUUCUGCCUCUCUGCACAUGAAAGGGGUCAUUACAGCUGUAUACUGAAUGGUUAAAAGUACAAAUUUGUGUAAACUUACUUUUUGUCCACAAACUUAAAUGAGGUGUUCACGAAACAGAUAAUAAUUAUAAGUGCGGUGCAGCUUUCUUACCAAUUCGAUCGAAGGUUCCAUGGCACAAAAUAGUGAGUGCACUGUACUGCUUUUCUUAUUAUUUUCUCUUUUGUGUGUGUGGUGCUGCCCAUAUGGGUUCGGGUAUAGGGGACGAAACGGUUGCUCGCUCGCGGCACCCGAAGCUGGUUUUUUUUUUUUUUUUCCCCCCUUGCUGUAGGCACGCGUGCUCGCAAAGCUUGGUUUUGUGCUUCUUCGGUCAGAAACCACCCCCGCUCAACAAAAGUCCCUUCUGGUCGAGUGCCUUGAGGGAAAACAGCGACGACAGAUUACAGUUAGAAACCGACCAUGCCUGGUUCUGUGGCUGUUUGCAUCUGUGUGGGCCUAGGAGAUGCACGGAAUGCCUAGGGCAUUGGGAACGAGAGCCGCUGACAGGCCCAUUUCAUGUCAAAUACCGAUACUUCUAUCCUCUCUGGCUGCAGUAGUAAACGCUUGUUGUUGGAGGAGGCUUUAAAACAGGAACAGAAACUGAAGUAAACAUGAAUAACCGCAACGUGCUUUUACACAAAGUAAACUAAAGUGACAGGUGGAAAACCACAAAACUUUCUGCAACGCCCGCGCUCCGCGGUGUCACCGCUUAACAUAGCCAGAAGGCUCAAAGCCAGCUCGCUAAAACGCUUACAGCUCAAUGAAAUAUGCAGAAAUCGUUUGUAAGCACCUCUAUGAAACUUUUUUUUCCAACUUGUUUAGUCAUUAACAACAAAUAAUACAAUAAAAAGCCUAUUUAGUAUUUUUUUAGGGCCUAGCACAUUCUUAGGGCCUGGCAACACUGACAAAUACGCGGUGAGCCCGCUGCGGCGUCCGCCUGUUUAUCGCUGAAUGUAAGCAAUGCCAGUGAACCAUCGGCGGUGUCCUGCCGCAGCUAUUUGUGCCGAGCGAUGUUCGCCGCGAAAGUUCACUCCAGGCUUAACUGCGCUCGUGCCCAUGUGCUGCACCUGCUGCGCCGCUUCUUCCCACUUGUACGCCAGCACGAAGUUGGCACCGACAGUCGAGUGGGUGCAGCAAAAUAAUGAACCAGCUCUGCACCUUUCCUGCACCUUUUGAAACAAAUGGCAGAGUGCAGCACCUCGAGAGCUGGUUCAGGUGGUGCAGGCGAAUUGAACGUACCCACUUUGAAACAAUGUACACCCCCUUUGGGUCGUAUCUUGCCACACAACAGUAAUCGUCAUCAGUCUUGCUUGCGUUUCCUUGCUUGAAAACGCUGCGCUCACUACUUUCCUGUCGAGAAUGCUCUGUCAUGCUGAUAACGCACAUGCCGUUCGUGGCUUGAAAGUACCGGGCUCGUGGAGUUAAAGAAAGGAAAUGCGGACAAGACAAAUGACGAUAAUUGUUGUGUUGCAAGAUAUGACCCAAAGGGUGUAAACUUGUUUAAAAGUGUAUUGAAUAGUGUGCGCCUCCCAAUCUAGGAAGCCAUAGAGCGGGCCUCUGGAAGUCAAGCCAGCAAAAAAUCCAACAUGGCAGCCUCCAAGAAUGCGUAUCGUGGCUCGGAACGUGAGACUUAGUCCAGUAAAUCGAACUUUGGGGCCUCAAUUCAUCUGAAAAAUUGGUCCCGACUAUACAUUAGCUCAAUGGGAACCCCGACGGUGCAAUUAUGAAGUCCUGAAUAUCCACCAAGACAAAUUUUUUGGAGUGAAGCGCCCUCUUUAGUGGCGGUUAUCAAUUCCGUGAACGUCGUCUGCAGCUUUGUUGAGUGACCGGCGGUGAUUUUUUCCUAUGCCACGUGUUCCGAGACAUCUGGAGAACAUCGCACUUGGGCGAACUACUGCACCAAGCAAUCCCGCUUCAGUGAUUAUUUCAACUAAUUGUUCUCGGACAUAGAAAAUAAAGGCGAUUCCUUUUUUGUGGCAAGUUCUUGUUUUCUUUUUUUCCCUUCAUUUUGGUUACUUAGAAAAUAUGCUUAACUCAAAGAAUUUUCAUGGUCCGGCAGCCUUCCAAUUAUCGAGGUUCUACUGUAUUAGGCACAGGAAUGAAAUGGGCAAAUUUAUAGCAUUUCAUGAAUCGCUUCACAAAAGCUUCAUUUCACAUGUGCGUUGGAUCUGCUUAACCUAUGAAUUUUGGCUAAUACUUCUUUCUUAAAUAAUCAUAUAGCAAACUUUAUGGUCAGCUUUGAUUCAGGGACUAAAGAAAUAUGCCAACAUUUAAUUUAAAUUCAUAAAUAUGGCGCACAGCUAGUGCCAUCUAAAAAAAAUCUGUUUCACAGCCACAAGCCGUGCCAGUAGCCAAAUGAAUUACGAGUGAUGUCGCAAUUUUGACCUGUGUCGUAUCAGCGUGCGGCAUGGCGUUAACGUAUUGGCACCAAACAGCCGAUGCUGUAGUGCCACUUUCAACUUUCAAACGAGAAGUUAUGCUAGCCGCAGAGGCAUCGUCAAACGUUCAAGCCGGGCGGAACUUCAGCAUCAAUGCGAAAAAGAAAAGUUAGUUUCGCUCGAAAGGCAAAGCAUCGAUUGCAGUAGCAAAUUAGUGGACAGCUAGCUGUACAAAGUAAGGACAGUAGUUUUAUUGGCCAUAUAAACUUGUAAACAUAGGCACACUACCUAAAUCAACAAGCAUGGUGUCACACACGCACAAGCAAACUUAUCUGACUUGAUGAGCGUGGAAACUCUGUCAAAACGCCAGAGUGAGGAAGCAGCAGCGAGCGAAUUUACCUUCGUGCUGCAUCUCGCAUUAACGCUAACUAAGCCAAGAAAACAUAGCGCAGCUGUGUUUUCUCUUUCAAAAUACAGCGGCAUGGCUGGGCAUGCGCGGCUGCCCAGAGAAGAACGCGCACCCACUCCCUACCCUCUCCCUGGAUCCUGGCAUGCACUGGAGGGUGGCGCACUUCCUCCCCGCUUCGAGCUCGGCACGUUCAUAUUCAAUAAAUGUUGUUUUCAUUUUGUCAACGCUGUCCUCACUUUUUUGUUCGGCCUACAUUCGAGGUAAUUUAUAUAUUUUUUUUCUGGCUUCAGACUGUUGGGGGUCUGCUUAGAAUUGGGGCCAGCCUAGAUUUGCGUAAGUAUGGUAUUUUCUUGCGACCUUGAAUCAUUCGCUUUUCUGGUUAAUACUUUUUGUUAGUGUUUUCCUUUCUCCAAUAUGUAUGAACGAGGUUCUACUGUAUUCGAACACCUUUAAAAAAAUUUUUACGCAGGCAUCAGCAAGAAUUUUAUUUGAAGAGGUCAUACAAAUCAUUACUAAUGCCUAAAAUUAUCAAUCCAAGCGGUGGGAAACUUGGUGAGGUUAUGCAGCAAAACUUCUGGUACCCUAAAAUACCAGUUUCAAAAAGCAAAAAAGAAAGAAAAA
Non-coding RNA from Dermacentor andersoni, 4383 nucleotides. The record is from RefSeq and is a predicted model, not a curated record. Lineage: Eukaryota; Metazoa; Arthropoda; Arachnida; Ixodida; Ixodidae.